Molecule: long non-coding RNA, 4403 nt
Organism: Meriones unguiculatus (Mongolian gerbil)
Lineage: Eukaryota; Metazoa; Chordata; Mammalia; Rodentia; Muridae
Exons: 2
Source: RefSeq, a predicted model, not a curated record
AUCCCUGUGGACAGAGAGAGGCUGUUAGAGAACCCAGGGUACACCACAGGGAGCCCCCAAAGCACACUGCCUCCUCUCUGGAAAGGCCGCACAGAGCCAGCACUCGGAGGGCCCUCCUCGCCCAGGCGCUGCACGCUUCAACAGCCCCCGGAAGCAGGUUUUAUCUCUCGGAGAUGGGGACACUGAAUCUUGGAGAAGUGGGGAGAGUGGAGUAGGAAGUGGCAGUGUCCCGAAUCUUAUUCCUGGGCACCAUGAGGAAAUGCCUUCCUGGGAAACCCCUGCUCCCAAAUUUACCGUUAGAGGGAUAAUAACAGCUAAAUUAUCAACCUGACAACAUGGUGCGGCCCGUUCCAGUAUGGGUGUCCGCAGACAACUGUAUCUGAAGGUUUCUUCAGUUUCCUACAAGUUAUGUCACCGGGUAAUGCGAACCCAAGCCUCAGAUCUUUGGUUGUCUCGUGACCCCCUCCCCUCCCCACACACCACAGGCGCUGGUGCCGAGGGCAUGGUCUCCAGCUGAUGGCACUAUCUGGGAAGGUUCAGGAAACUUCAGAGAAAUGUCAUCCCUGGAGGCUUGCCUUUGGAGACUCGACCUCAUUCUCACUCCCUCUCCAUUUUUUUUUUUUUUUUUUUUUUUUUUACUUCCUGUCUUCCACAAGGCGACCUCUGCCACACACUCCUGCCAAGUAUAUGGGACCAAACAACCAUGGGCUAACUAACCCCUCUGAGACCCGGAGCUGUUCCCUCGGGUCCGUCUCAGUCGCAGUGAGCAGAGGGUAGCAAACCCGUCAGAGGCAGUUAUGUUUGGGAUGCAUGAUGCUUGGUCCCUGCUGGGCCCAGGGCUCUGCCUGGCUCGACCUCAGAAGCUGCCGCCGGCCCCUGGGACUGGAGCUCCAAAUUCCAAGGUUGGAAUUGGACAGGCCCCAGCUACAUACAGGUUUUUUAGAGCUGGCCGCGAACCCUGGGCUCCCAGGUCCUGUGACUGCUCCUCUACCACAGAGCUAUGUCCCGGCCCCACCUGCUCUGGUGUCAAGUGACAGAGGAGAAUUUAAUGCAGUUUCGGGUUUACGGACAAAUGCACAGAAAGUCCCUAUAGGCCCUUGUCUCACCCAGCUUGCCACAGUGUGGCCCAUUUGUCACAACUGGUCAAACAGUAUGGGAGGGACAGGGCAUCUGAGCCCAUUCUUUGCUCUGUGCAGUGUCUGUGUUUAUGAUACAGCACAGAACAGGUCCACAGCCCCCAGGCCCCUGGCUUCCACCCAUCCCUGCCUCCUCCGUGCCGCUAACCCAUGGCAAACCACUCAUCUUCUUAUUAUUGCUAUAGCCUUGCCUUUCCCGGACCGGCGGGCUGAAGGACUUGGAGCCUUGUUAGGGGCUUUUUCCACUUAGCAGGUUCUGUUAUGACCCAUUCAUGUCUUUUCAUGGUUUGUUAGCUCCUUCCCCCUCUUUUAAAUUAAAGUUUUUUAGUUUACAUACAAAGUGACAGGCUCCCUAAGAACCCUUCAUACAUAGCUUCCAUGAUCACAUCUUGUUCUCAGCUGUUUCCCCCUCACCGCCCUUCCCCAUACUCUCCUCCCCCCCCAGCUACUCCCCCUCUCCCCAUUUCCUUCUCCCUUCUGCCUUCCAUUGUAUUCUGCUAUUGGCUCUAUCUCCCAUUUCCUUUAAGUAUCUUCCUCCAUUCUCAAGACCCUUUUUCUAGUUUUGUAAUUUAUAAACAAACAUAUAAACACAGGCAUAUAAUUUUAAAUUUAGGCUCUACGCUUGAGAGGGAAUGUGAGUUCUCUUCCCAAGUCUAUUGAAUCCAUUUCCUGGAAAUGUCAUUGUUUCAUUUCUCUUUGUGGCUGUAUAAAAUUCCAUUGUGCGUAUGAACGAUGCUUUCUUUAUCCAUUCAUCCAUCAUCUAUGGACAUCUAGGCUGCUUCCAUUUAUCCAUUCUUCUGUUGAUAGACAGUCAGGCUGCUUCUAUUCCCUGACUAUUUCAAAACUUGGGUGUGCAAGUAUCUCUGUGGUGUUUUGAGUUAGGGGCCUGUGGAUUUGGUUUAUUGAAGGAGCUCUAUACUGAUGUACCCAGUGGCUGCCUUAGUUUACACCUCACGGGUAGGGAGGAGGGACCCUCUUUCCAACACCCUCACCAGCCUUUGUUCUCCCACUUAUUUACUUAAAUAAAUAAAUAGACAGGGCCUCAUUCUGUAACCCUGGAUGGCCUGGAGCUUCUGUGUAGAUCAGGCUAGCCUUGUUCUCAGAGAGCUGCCUGCCUCUGCCUCCUGAGUAUUGGGAUUAAAGGCGUGCCAGGUGACAUCAAUCUGAAUGGGGUGAGGCAGAAUCCUAAGGUGAUUUUAUUUUUGUUUACUUAUUGUUUUUGUGUAUGUUCAUGUGUGUUUGUAGGAGAGUGUAUAUAUGUAGUAUGUAGAGGUCAGAGGUCAACCUUGGGGGUUGUGCUUCCGUUGAUCAUUACCAUUCUUGGUUUAUUUUUGAAACAGGGUUUCUCGCUGGGACCCAGGGCUCAUCAAUUAGGCUAAGCUGCCUGGCCAGGGAGCUCCAAGGGCCUGCCAGUCUCCACUCCCCAGUGCUGGGGUUCUGGUCCUGCACCACCAUGCUGGCAUUUCCUGUGGUUGCUGAGGAUCCAAGUCCAGUCUCCAUGUAUUCCCCUGACGGCUAAGGAUACCUUGUCAAGUAUUUGACUGGCCAUUUAUGUUUCUUCUUUUUAGAAUUACAUGUUCAGUUCAUCAUCCCAUUUCCUGACUGGAUAAUUUGGGGCUUGGUGUUUUUGUUGGAAUCGAUAUAUCUUCGAUAUUAAUCUCUUGUCAGAUGUACGGUUGGUGUGGAUUCUCUUCUCUCUGGUGACUUCUUUGCUGUGCAGAAACUUCCUGACUUCAUGGAGUCCCAGCUGUCAGAUCCUGGAAUUAUUUCCUGUGCUUCUGGAGUCCUCUUCAGAAAGUCAUUGCCUGUGUUUAUACCUUGGAGUAUCUCCCUCCAACCUCUCCUUACUCCCUCCCCCCGUUUUUAUUUUGGAGGUACCUGACGUAGCUUGCUUAGGUUUUGUGGACCAUGGGCUGAGCCCAUCUUUCCCGCCUUGUAUCUAGUUCAUGGUUGUCUCCUAGUGACAGGAACCCAGAAGAUGCUUGGUGAGGAACAAGACGGAGACAAAGUGACUUCCUAAGGUCACUGACAGAGAAUACUGCCCAGGAAAUCAGUUUUUAUACCGACUGUAUUGCAUCCACAUGGAAAUGAUCUACAGGGCCUGUGUGUUUCCCAGGGAUCCUCAGGGAGGUGGCAACUGUGACAGAGUCAGUCAUCACGCUGUGCUGGCCGAGGCUGGCCCUGCCCCUGCUGCUCCACGCCAGCCACGGGUUUGCAGGCGCUGAGCUGUAGCUGUGUCCUGUGACCUGGGAACACCCUCCGACUUGAGAACGUGAACCGGGCGAAAGAGGCUUUCAUCUCCUUCCAAAUAUACCAUCAGCUCUUGUCAUUCUUCUGCUCUUGACUCUAGAUGCCCUGCAAGUCCCUUGCUCCAUGGGACAAGGCAGCAAAGUACGUGGGACUCUUGAGGAAAGGCCUUUCUCUGUAAACAAAAGUCUGUUGUGGACAGACAGGGCAACGGGGCCUUGGUUUAACUCAGGAGGCAGACAUGUCCCAAACAUCAACAUGGAUAGGUGUGCAUGUGUAUUCUGUGCAUAUGACUGUAUGUGCAUGUGAGUGUGUGUCGUGGUUGGUUGGUGGGUCAGACAAAUACGGUGGAUGAUGCCCGGAGAAACUCAGUUACCCUCCCACCUCCCAGCUCUGUCUAAACAUCUCUUCUCAAAGCCUGGCCCACUGAGGACCUGUCUGAGACUCUGCAUCUCACCGGCCCACCAACGACGGUGCCUGAGACUGUACAUCUCUGGCAGCUGGUAGGAUAAGCAGCUUGGGCCAGAGUGUAAUCAGCCACCUCAUCAAUCAUGUUGCUUACUUGAGCUGGCAGUACUCACAGCAAGUCUUCGUCAAUGAGGAAGCACAACUCUGAGUACUUCCAAUGUCCACACGCAGCGGCGCUAAUGGGCUUUCCAGUCAACACUGUCUUCUCAAAAUGUGGGUUCUGGGGUGAGGCCAGAGACGCUUGUGUUGUCGGGUCUGGUGGCUGCUGGCCUGCGGCCCACGCUGAGCAGUGGCUGGAAACACACAGCACCGUGUACCUCGGUGGAGAUUACUUUUGUUCCCUUCACUGAAGGCUGCCCGAGAUUCGAGCUAUUACUCACAAAAGGAAGAUGACAUGGGGAAGAGUACGUGGCUGCAUUGUUUGGGUGAGGACAUUCUGAGAGGAGGAGAGUGUUUCAUUCACUACCCUUGGCUUUCUUUUUGUCUGUCUUUUCUGGCUUCCUAGAGAAAACAGGUAUAAAAAAAAAUACCAAAAAAAUAAUGUAUUUGAAA